UUGGAGGGCAAGUCUGGUGCCAGCAGCCGCGGUAAUUCCAGCUCCAAUAGCGUAUAUUAAAGUUGUUGCAGUUAAAAAGCUCGUAGUUGAAUUUCGGGAUUAGUACGCUGGUCGUGCCUUCGGUACGUACUGGUGUUACUGAUUUCUACCUUCUGACGAACCAUCAUGUCAUUCAUUUGGUGUGGUGGGGAAUCAGGACUGUUACUUUGAAAAAAUUAGAGUGUUUAAAGCAGGCUCGCGCUUGAAUACAUUAGCAUGGAAUAAUGAAAUAGGACGUUGAUCCUAUUUUGUUGGUUUCUAGGAUUGACGUAAUGAUUAAUAGGGAUAGUUGGGGGCAUUAGUAUUCAAUUGUCAGAGGUGAAAUUCUUGGAUUUAUUGAAGACUAACUACUGCGAAAGCAUUUGCCAAGGAUGUUUUCAUUAAUCAAGAACGAAAGUUAGGGGAUCGAAGACGAUCAGAUACCGUCGUAGUCUUAACCAUAAACUAUGCCGACUAGGGAUCGGAUGAUGUUAUUUUUAAUGACUCAUUCGGCGCCUUACGGGAAAC
Molecule: ribosomal RNA, 546 nt
Filed under: uncultured Glomeromycotina
Lineage: Eukaryota; Fungi; Glomeromycota
Description: SSU rRNA
Rfam family: Eukaryotic small subunit ribosomal RNA
Source: RNAcentral